RNAcentral lists this long non-coding RNA (1269 nucleotides) under Macaca mulatta (Rhesus monkey). Its description in RNAcentral is "lncRNA (ENSMMUG00000057100.1)". The record is from RNAcentral. Lineage: Eukaryota; Metazoa; Chordata; Mammalia; Primates; Cercopithecidae.
UGAGAGAGUAUGGCCAGCUGAGCCCGUAGGUGUUGCUGUGGCAAUUGGGACGCUGAGAGCUGGGUUUCCCUGGAAACGGGAGUGCAGGACCCUGUUGCUAUGGGGAGAAAGGAACGCUGUUGGCUGGAAGCAGAUUUCCCUGGCGACCUGGAGACGCCCUGGGUGAAACUGUCUACCUGAGCAACGGCACCUGGGAGGGGCUGGCCUUUUCCCCCAGACACCCCCCCCCCCGCAUUCGCUCCAGGGGGAGCCGUGUGCUUGCUGGACACACAGCAGGCAGAGGCAGCACGUGGAUCACUGGUGUCCCUUGAUCUGGACUCAAGAACUAUGGCUUUUUAAAAACAUUUGUCAAAGAAUGUAGUGGUUGUCACAGGUGGUGGACUGAGGCCUGGGGAGGGACACUGCCUGCCUGAGGGGCAAAGGAGCUCAUCUUCCUGGCCUUGCACCUGUGGUCUGACUCCCACUAGAGCCCUUCAGAGUCAUCUGCCCGUGGACCCACCCUUGUCCCAGGAAGCUGCACCAUUUCCCACCCUCUGGAACCGGAAAGGACCGCCAGCCGCCCUGUCCGGAGGAGAGCAGACCCCAGUCAGCAUGCGUGGUAGAGGGUCUGCAGAGCUUACCCACAACUUCUCACCCCGGAGGCUGCCAGGAGCUGUCGGGAUGCCAGGGCAGGGCAGCUUCCCAUAGCCUCUCAAGGUGCUGGAUUACAGGCGUGAACCACUGCACCCGGCCCCACCUGCGUUUUAGAAAGUUCCUUCUGGCUGUGGAGUUGCCCCGGACAAGACCUAAGGUGAGGAUGGGAUUUUCUGGGUCCAGGUGGGCAUCACCUGGGGCCUCUGUGCCAUCUGGGGGUGGGCAUGGCCGCCUGCAGUUCAACCUCCCCCUGCCCACGGCAGCUCCAAGUCCAUGAUUUUCCCAGAUGACCUCCCGCGCCUCUUCCUCAGGCACUGGAGGGUUUGCCCAGGGAAGAGGGAUUUCCUGGGAGAGUCCUGGUGAGCCAUGAAGGGUGGUCCCUCCUCUUGGUGGGGCCCCGACCCAAGGCAGGCCCUCCUCACCGCCCACCUCCUCUUAGCCUUGGGGUCCUGGCUGCUCCACCGGACACAUCCUUGUUUCUUUGCUGCCCAAUGUCCCCCUUGACGCUGCUUCUCCCCCUUAACCCUGCCCCUCUGUGGCUGUGCAGGAAAGCCCACGCCUGCUGGCCAUGGUCCCGAUUCCCCCCAGGACACCUUUCCAGGACACGAGGGCUGGCCCAGCCCCAUGCACGCCUCC